AGCGGAAGAUGGGAGCUUGCUCCCUGAUGUUAGCGGCGGACGGGUGAGUAACACGUGGGUAACCUGCCUGUAAGACUGGGAUAACUCCGGGAAACCGGGGCUAAUACCGGAUGCUUGUUUGAACCGCAUGGUUCAAACAUAAAAGGUGGCUUCGGCUACCACUUACAGAUGGACCCGCGGCGCAUUAGCUAGUUGGUGAGGUAAUGGCUCACCAAGGCAACGAUGCGUAGCCGACCUGAGAGGGUGAUCGGCCACACUGGGACUGAGACACGGCCCAGACUCCUACGGGAGGCAGCAGUAGGGAAUCUUCCGCAAUGGACGAAAGUCUGACGGAGCAACGCCGCGUGAGUGAUGAAGGUUUUCGGAUCGUAAAGCUCUGUUGUUAGGGAAGAACAAGUACCGUUCGAAUAGGGCGGUACCUUGACGGUACCUAACCAGAAAGCCACGGCUAACUACGUGCCAGCAGCCGCGGUAAUACGUAGGUGGCAAGCGUUG
RNAcentral lists this ribosomal RNA (495 nucleotides) under Bacillus subtilis. Its description in RNAcentral is "bacterial SSU rRNA". It matches the Rfam family "Bacterial small subunit ribosomal RNA", at positions 65 to 543 of the family's 1533-position model. The record is from RNAcentral. Lineage: Bacteria; Bacillati; Bacillota; Bacilli; Caryophanales; Bacillaceae.